This is a long non-coding RNA of Monomorium pharaonis (pharaoh ant), 430 nucleotides long. RefSeq lists it as uncharacterized. The transcript is spliced from 2 exons. The record is from RefSeq and is a predicted model, not a curated record. NCBI's taxonomy places the organism in Eukaryota, Metazoa, Arthropoda, Insecta, Hymenoptera, Formicidae.
CAAAACAAAAAUCAGACAUUGUGUUGACACAAUAUAUCACUAAAAAUUAAAUAAAAAAACAGAUAUGUCAUGAUGUCACAUUAAAUUAAUAAAAUGUAGCUAGAAAUUUGACAUAUUUGCUAUCACGCUGCGAUACCAGAAACUUGGCGAAAAUACAGCACGAUGUAUCACAUGAAGUACUGACAGCAAAAAUGCAGCAGAAAUCGAGCAGAGCCUGCCGUCAUGACAUGACGGCGAAAACGCGGCAGGUAUAGAACGCGAGUUUGCUACAUCAGAUGUGUGAUGACUUCUGCACACAGGACGCGGCAAAGCGGCAUCGCGGCGGUAGUAAGGUUGAUCGCCCGACGUGUCUCCCGUCGAAUCCCACACUUCCCGGACCUGAUCCUCCCAGAAGUCUUCUCAAAGAUUUCCACCUUCAUAUAAAAAAAAA